UAGAAUUAACCGGAAGCGGGGACUUUGAACUAAAUUGACAAACAAGAAAAAUCAUUUUCUCAGUCUUCAGGAAGUUCAGGUCUACAGUUUCAGACUGAAAUAAUAUACAACUAGAGGUUAGAUAACUCUGUAAUAGACAGAAUGGCAGCCUUACAAUUUCAAAAUCGGGAUAAAGAAAAUGUUGAAGGUUUCAUUACUACCAACAGAGCUAAAGGAAAUAGACAAGCCCUCGGGAGUACCUCAAUUCUUCAAAAUCGUGUUAAAUCCAUCCAGAAUACCAAUGUUUCUGCAUUCAUGACACCAAGAAAAACUCUAGGUGAUAUUUUAAACAGUCAACAGACACCUCACACUAUAAAAGGCCAGUCGUUAAAACCAGGCCAGUCGUUAAAACCAGUUUGUGUGAAACCUACGUUGAAUUUACAGAAGAGUUCCAUUAAAUCCAAAAAGAAUGUUUCUUUUAAAUCGGGCAAUAUUCAAGAGAAAGAAAAUAUUAAGAAACCUAAGCAAGUGUUGGCACCUGUUUCUAUGAAAAUUGAAAGUAAACAGAGAAAGAUAGAAUGUGAUGACAUUGAAUUUAUGCACCCACCAGAAGAUGUUAAAGAUGACAGAUAUCCACCACAAGAAGAAAGAGUAUCAAACUAUUUAAAUAAACUCAUCAGUUGGCGACCCCCAUGUUUAUUUGGUAUUCCACCAGUAAGUGACGAUGAUGAUGAGGAAGAUGAAGAAAGACAAAGAAAAGAAAGAAGAGAAGCAUUGUUUGAUAACUUGGAUGCUUUGGCAGGAAUUGAGCCAUUUGAAGAAGAGCCAAGAUUUAACGAAGAAGAUUUAAGCAGUCCAGCAAUGUUAGAGGUAGACAUCCCAUAUAUUGAUGAGACCUUGCCGACAUUAGAUGAUACUCUUCCAUCAUUAGAUGAUUCUUACAGUUGUAAUAUCUCUCCCAGUCUUGGAGUACUACAGUUGAAUGACAGUGUGUUGUAAAAAUAUUGACUUUGACAAUAAACCUGUGGACAUAUCUGGUCAGUGAACAUGCGUAUGGUUGUGGACAUCAAUAUUCUUGUGCUUUGAGACAGCUAAAUAAUGUUAUGAAUCUCCUUUUUUUUGCCAAAAAUUCAGAUGGCUUACUAUAAAUUUUGACUUUAUGUCAAUUGCAUGUCACAGAAACAUCAAACUGAUAUUUCUUACUUUAAAGGGCAUUUUACAUGUAAAUAUGUUGUAUUUUUUUAUUUUUUUUAACUCUUUGCUUAGCAGUAAAACUAA
This is a long non-coding RNA of Patella vulgata (common limpet), 1257 nucleotides long. RefSeq lists it as uncharacterized. The transcript has 6 exons. Lineage: Eukaryota; Metazoa; Mollusca; Gastropoda; Patellidae. The record is from RefSeq and is a predicted model, not a curated record.